AGUGAACGCUGGCGGUAGGCCUAACACAUGCAAGUCGAACGGCAGCACAGGAGAGCUUGCUCUCUGGGUGGCGAGUGGCGGACGGGUGAGGAAUACAUCGGAAUCUACUUUUUCGUGGGGGAUAACGUAGGGAAACUUACGCUAAUACCGCAUACGCCCUACGGGUGAAAGCAGGGGAUAUUCGGACCUUGCGCGAUUGAAUGAGCCGAUGUCGGAUUAGCUAGUUGGCGGGGUAAAGGCCCACCAAGGCGACGAUCCGUAGCUGGCCUGAGAGGAUGAUCAGCCACACUGGAACUGAGACACGGUCCAGACUCCUACGGGAGGCAGCAGUGGGAAAUAUUGGACAAUGGGCGCAAGCCUGAUCCAGCCAUACCGCGUGGGUGAAGAAGGCCUUCGGGUUGUAAAGCCCUUUUGUUGGGAAAGAAAUCCAUCUGGUUAAUACCCGGGUGGGAUGACGGUACCCAAAGAAUAAGCACCGGCUAACUUCGUGCCAGCAGCCGCCGUAA
Molecule: ribosomal RNA, 506 nt
Filed under: uncultured bacterium
Lineage: Bacteria
Description: partial 16S ribosomal RNA
Rfam family: Bacterial small subunit ribosomal RNA
Source: RNAcentral